Molecule: ribosomal RNA, 246 nt
Filed under: uncultured bacterium
Lineage: Bacteria
Description: partial 16S ribosomal RNA
Rfam family: Bacterial small subunit ribosomal RNA
Source: RNAcentral
AUACGUAGGUGGCAAGCGUUAUCCGGAAUUAUUGGGCGUAAAGGGUGCGUAGGCGGUUGAUUAAGUUUUAGGUGAAAGCGUGGGGCUCAACUCCAUACAGCCUAAGAAACUGGUCAACUAGAGUGCAGAAGAGGGAAGUGGAAUUCCAUGUGUAGCGGUGAAAUGCGUAGAGAUAUGGAGGAACACCAGUGGCGAAGGCGGCUUCCUGGUCUGUAACUGACACUGAGGCGCGAAAGCGUGGGGAGC